AGCGAACGCUGGCGGCAGGCUUAACACAUGCAAGUCGAGCGGGCAUCCUUGUGGUGUCAGCGGCAGACGGGUGAGUAACGCGUGGGAACGUGCCCUUCGGUUCGGAAUAACUCAGGGAAACUUGAGCUAAUACCGGAUACGUGCGAGAGCAGAAAGGUUUAUCUGCCGAAGGAUCGGCCCGCGUCUGAUUAGCCAGUUGGUGAGGUUAUGGCUCACCAAGGCGACGAUCAGUAGCUGGUCUGAGAGGAUGAUCAGCCACACUGGGACUGAGACACGGCCCAGACUCCUACGGGAGGCAGCAGUGGGGAAUAUUGGACAAUGGGGGCAACCCUGAUCCAGCCAUGCCGCGUGAGUGAUGACGGCCUUAGGGUUGUAAAGCUCUUUUCUUCGGGACGAUAAUGACGGUACCGGAGGAAUAAGCCCCGGCUAACUUCGUG
RNAcentral lists this ribosomal RNA (437 nucleotides) under uncultured bacterium. Its description in RNAcentral is "partial 16S ribosomal RNA". It matches the Rfam family "Bacterial small subunit ribosomal RNA", at positions 29 to 507 of the family's 1533-position model. The record is from RNAcentral.